Molecule: small RNA, 117 nt
Filed under: Pongo abelii (Sumatran orangutan)
Lineage: Eukaryota; Metazoa; Chordata; Mammalia; Primates; Hominidae
Description: Metazoan signal recognition particle RNA (ENSPPYG00000031716.1)
Source: Rfam by way of RNAcentral
GCCGGGCAUGGUGGCUCAUGCCUGUAAUCCCAGCACUUUGGGAGGCUGAGGUGGGUGGAUCACCUGAGGUCAGGAGUUCAAGACCAGCCUGGCCAACAUGGUAAAACCCCAUCUCUA